GACGAACGCUGGCGGCGUGCUUAACACAUGCAAGUCGAACGGAAAGGCCCUGCUUUUGUGGGGUGCUCGAGUGGCGAACGGGUGAGUAACACGUGAGUAACCUGCCCUUGACUUUGGGAUAACUUCAGGAAACUGGGGCUAAUACCGGAUAGGAGCUCCUGCUGCAUGGUGGGGGUUGGAAAGUUUCGGCGGUUGGGGAUGGACUCGCGGCUUAUCAGCUUGUUGGUGGGGUAGUGGCUUACCAAGGCUUUGACGGGUAGCCGGCCUGAGAGGGUGACCGGCCACAUUGGGACUGAGAUACGGCCCAGAGUCCUACGGGAGGCAGCAGUGGGGAAUAUUGCACAAUGGGCGGAAGCCUGAUGCAGCAACGCCGCGUGCGGGAUGACGGCCUUCGGGUUGUAAACCGCUUUAGCCUGUGACGAAGCGUGAGUGACGGUAAUGGGUAAAGAAGCACCGGCUAACUACGUG
Molecule: ribosomal RNA, 468 nt
Filed under: uncultured bacterium
Lineage: Bacteria
Description: partial 16S ribosomal RNA
Rfam family: Bacterial small subunit ribosomal RNA
Source: RNAcentral